RNAcentral lists this long non-coding RNA (1291 nucleotides) under Phascolarctos cinereus (koala). Its description in RNAcentral is "lncRNA (ENSPCIG00000035015.1)". The record is from RNAcentral. Lineage: Eukaryota; Metazoa; Chordata; Mammalia; Diprotodontia; Phascolarctidae.
GGCCAGCAUGCACAAAUGCUCAGCAGUCUGUCCUCCCUAACUAUAGGUUUUACCUGAUAAGAUGUGUCCAUGUCUCUGAGAGGGGAUCCAGGUGUCCUAAGGUCCCCAGCAGGGAUCUCCCAGAAUCCUUCUUGCUCCCUUCGGAAUCAUAGGACUUGGGUUUGAAUUCCAGCUCUGCCAUUUACUAGCUAUGUGACCUUGGGUUUCUGGCCUUCGGGGCAGAGCACUUCUCCCCAGUGGCCCCCAGGUGGCGAGCUCGGCCUGUGCUGCUAUUUCAGCCUUCCAUGGGCGGCUGGAGAAAAGCAUUCGUUCAAGGAACGGGGGGAAUCUGCCUAUCUGUGCCCAACCCCAGCUCCAACCCUCGACCCUGGCCCAGAUCCUAGGAAGUCAACCAUCAGCGCUGAGAAUCAGCACAGUGUGGUAAGAAUUCAGGACCUGGGUCCACAUACCCACUCUGCUGCCAAUGUGACCUUGGGCAAAUCAUCAAACUCCUCGGAUCCUAAAUUUCCACAUCUGUAAAAUGGGGAGGUUGGAGUAGACUGAGGUCCAGUUAAUCUCUAAAUUUAUGCUCCUUUGAUAAUGAUAGCUAACAUUUAUAUAACGUUUUAAAGUUUGCAGAGCAUUCAACAUACGAUAUUCUUACAACAACCUUGUCAGGCAGGUGCUAUUAUUAUUAUUAUUUCCAUUUUGCAGAUCAGGAAACUGAGGCUGAGAGGUUAAGUGGUUUAUCUGUGGUCUUCCAGCUAGUAAGUGUCAGAGGUGCAAUUUGAACCCGGGUCUUUCUAAAUCCCAAGUCAGGCACUCUAUCUUCUAUUCCAGGCUGUCUGUCAUGAUGCCCCAGAGGUAUCUGCAUUCAUAUUUGUAUAGACAUGCUCACUGAGUAUGGAACUAGGCAUGACAAUGUCUCUCCUCUCUUUCCCCUGCUCUUCCAGUGGCUGACAGACAAGAGAGAAGGAAGUAAGUGAUGGGGGGGAUGGAGAGCCUGUACCCGGGAAAUAGACUGUAAGCUGCAGAUUCUGCUCACACGCUCUUAAGCUGAGCAAAGCAAAGGCACCACAGCCUGCUCCCCAUGCAUGGGGUGAGGAAAGUUUCCCCACCCCCACACCCCCAGCUCCCAGCAGAUUCUAGAUCCUCCUGCCUUACUCAUUCAGUCAUCAAGGGAAGGCCUGAUAUAUUUGGGUAACCUGAUCACUGAUGCACAGUGUCUGAGCUCCAGGAGGCAUGGAGUAAUGGUGAGAGAUGGGAUGUUGGGACCGGCUGGCUCCUUCUGCUCAGAGAGCCAGGCCUCCAG